RNAcentral lists this ribosomal RNA (305 nucleotides) under uncultured bacterium. RNAcentral's name for it is "bacterial SSU rRNA". It matches the Rfam family "Bacterial small subunit ribosomal RNA", at positions 334 to 637 of the family's 1533-position model. The record is from RNAcentral.
GGCCCCUACGGGGGGCAGCAGUGAGGAAUAUUGGUCAAUGGCCGGAAGGCUGAACCAGCCAAGCCGCGUGAAGGACGAAGGUGCCAAGCAUUGUAAACUUCUUUUGUCAAGGGACAAAAUCAGGCUCGAGAGCCUGACCGAGGGUACUUGAAGAAAAAGCAUCAGCUAACUCCGUGCCAGCAGCCGCGGUAAUACGGAGGAUGCGAGCGUUAUCCGGAUUCAUUGGGCGUAAAGCGCGCGUAGGCGGCCUGUUAGGUCGGGGGUCAAAUACCGGGGCUCAACCCCGGUCCGCCCCCGAUACCGGC